CAGAGGCUCACCUUGUGAAAUGUGCUGUGAGUGGUCACGUAGGAGGUACACUGCUUGGAAAAGGUUAAGUGGAGUUUUAAAUAAGUUACUCAAAAUGUGCUGUGAGCGAUAGAAUGGUUAGGGCUGGAAGGGAGCUUUAGAUCAGCCACCUUGAGACCAGAAAACUAAACCCAUUAGGGAUGGUGACUGAGGAAGCAGUGACAGCGAUGUGGUCAGUUACACAGCUGCAAGAGUUGCUACUACAGUGGGGAAGCUGGCAUGGUGUGGAAAUUAUCCCCCAUUUCAAACAGUGGGCAGGAGGGAAGGCUUGCACAAGACAGCAGCUUCAUCAGAGGGAAGUGGAACAGAUACUAACCUGUCACCUCUGCCUCAUAAACUGCCAAGAAGAGCCAGAUGUCCCAGAGCUUGUAUAAUAGAUUAUUUCCAGGGUUUAUCAAUUUUUCACUGGAGUGUUUAAAAAAGAGAGAUUUAGCAUUUAAUUUUUAUGAAACAGCAUUUAAGAAGAAAAGGACCUCUGAGAGUGGAAAGAGGUGUAAAGGUGGGGAGAGUGAAAGAAAAUAAAAAUUGCACCCAUUAAACAGACAGCUGCCUUAUUUGUGUGAAGAAAUUCUUCACUAGUUACAAAUGCUUUCCAAAAGUCAAUCACACAAAGAAACACAAAGGCCUACAACUGAAGUAUUUUAUUUUUCUUGCCCCGUUCCCAGUCAUCCAAAGCAGUAAGACAGCAGUGAAGAUUGACCUCUAUGGCAGUUUAGCCUGGUUCCAGGCUGCUAUAAUCAUGUCCUUUUCUCCUUUUCUCUCCAUUACAUAUUCAGCUUCCCCCCUUUUCGUUAACACUAAGUCCUUCUGCAGCAGGACAGUUUGGUGGCUAAAGCUGCUUAUCUGGCUGAAAGCUAACAUACUAUUUUGAUUGUUCUAUGUAGGUUUUGAGCUCUACCAUUUGCCUGACAUACUUGGCUUACUGCAUAGCUGCACAAACACCUACACUAGCUCAGGGAGGGGAAGAGGAAGGCAUCACUGGUGCUGCAGGGGAGGAAUUCCCGGGUAAGAUCAGCUUUAGCUGCUGUGAAAUUUCACCCGACCAGAGAAGCCAGAAGUUACAGCUAAAGUCAAACCGAUCCUGCCCACCACCAAGCACAGCCUUGGCCCCCACUUCCCACUGCCUUGUCUGCCUGCAUAAGAUGUGCUGGUGCUUGUGUAAAGCCACUCAACAAAAUUGAGCUCACUAGUCCAACAGGAAAAAAUCACCUGCUGAAAAAGAAGGAAUAGUUUUCUUCUGGCUCAGCAGCUGUAGCAGCUUAGUGAAGAGAUGUAUCCUGGUACAGGGACAGAGGAGGAAGAGGAGACAGGUAAAGAAGAAAUGGACUGCAUGUGUUGGCCUUUUAAGCCAUAGCAACUUAGCUUUUAAAGUUAUCACAGCCUAUCCUAAUAGCCAUGUCCUCAGCUGAUGGAGAGAGGAUGACCUUCAGUCUUUAUGCUGGAAAGAGUGUUGUGACAUGAAACAGUAAUCAAUCUAUCUUUUCUCAGAACCUAAGAAAGAAAAAAUUAAUGAAAAGGACUGAGUAACUGCUAUUACCCUUGUCAGUUUUCCAUUAGCAUAUGAUGGAUUACUGCCAGCUCUUCCACUUCUGUUUUAGCCUUCAGUGGUUUUCUUAAUCUGAUUACCUGAGAAUCCCUGUUGUCUGCUUAUAAAACUCCAGACUGUAAAGACAAGCUUGAUGACAGGAGCUGAAAGGCUCAAAAGAAGACAAAAGCAGCAGACAAAAUGAAUACCGAGUCUAUUAUUGCUGUGAUUAUGUUUCCUAAAAUUUGCUGUUCUGCUGGCAGUUCCCCCACCACUCACUCUAGCCAGAGCAGUGCAGAUACAUAAAACUUACUAGUAAAUUCUGACUCUGCUUACCAAGUUCCAUUAAAAAUGUAUUGACCCAGAAAUUCACUGCAGACAGCAGUGCAGGCAGGCAUACUGUAGCUUCUGAUCUUACUAGCUAUCCGUGUUCCUGCAAGUAGAGCUUUAUUCUUGAAAUUAUCUUUGUGUACUUUCAAGCAUGUGAGUGACUCCACUGAAGACAAUGCGACUGCUCACCUUGGUAACGUUAAGAAUGCAUAUAAAGAUCUGCAGUGUCAGGGCCUGGCAGUGGAAGCAGUUAGUUUCACUUAUCUGGUAAGGGCCAAUUCAAAGUUGCUUACUGACAAAAGAAUGAAGGAGUUGAUACCUGUUACAUUCUUCAUUCUGCAUACUGCUUUGUAUGCAUAGGCCUUAUGUUUGCACAAGGCGCAGAGGCUUCAGAGCAGUUUCUUUGCAUGUAGAGAAGAGUAUGUGAGCAGCUACCUCACAAGAAAGAAAGAAAAUGAACCAUGAAGUUAAAAAAUUCUGGUUAGAAAAGAAAUUCUACUUUCCUCUGCGGUACUAAUACACAAAUGCAUCGACCUAACAAUGAAUCAGAGUUACAACACAGCAAGGAUAGCCAUGGAAAUGCAGAAAUACUGAAAUAUACAAUGAGAGGCUCAGCUCAAUGACGUUGCAUUGAAUCCCAGUCUACCUCAGAUUCAUGCUGAAAUUUCCAAGCUAUGGAUGAUUUUCAGAGGCAGGAUAUCAUACACAGGUGGUGAAUACAUAGGUCCUCCAGGAUUCUUCCUUGCAGCUUGACAGGUGUCAAAUGUCACAUCAGUUCAUGGUUCUUCUGAUCCACAGUCUUGCUUCAUGUGGCCAGAAUCAGCUUCGGCAGUACAGGUCAGCUGAGUGGCAGCUCGUUUCUACUGUUACUGUCUUAGUUCCCUUUAAUGCUCAUAUCUAAUCUGUGUUUUCAAUAAAUAGGAACAAAAAUGC
Neopsephotus bourkii (Bourke's parrot) is the source of this 2827-nucleotide long non-coding RNA. RefSeq lists it as uncharacterized. Lineage: Eukaryota; Metazoa; Chordata; Aves; Psittaciformes; Psittacidae. The record is from RefSeq and is a predicted model, not a curated record. The transcript has 2 exons.